UAAAUAUAGUAAUGUUUAUUUUUCAUUCAUAGAUUAAUAUGAUAAUAUAGGAUCAAAUUCAAUUACUAAGGGUCUGUUUGUUUCAACGUAAGUAAAAUUUAGAUUGAAGUAGAUUUUAGGUUGAACGAAAGUUCAGGUGAUAAUUACUUCACCUCCACUGUUUGUUCUUAUAGCUGUGAAAGUGAAAAGUUCUGUUAAUUCUGCUAUUUGUUUGGCGAAAAGUAAAUAGCUAAAAAGAACAGUUCCAUACUUUCUCUAUUAAUUUGUUUUACCGAAAAUUGUUAAAUCCCCACACGAGUGUAAACUUACCUCCUACAUUAUAUCAUUCCAUAUUAUAUAACUUAAUAAAUAAUAAAUUAUAAUAUAAUAAAUAAAAAUAAUUAAAAUAAAAUUUAAAAUAAUUAUAUUAAUUUUUUUGGAUAUAAAUUAUAAUAAUGCAUUAAUAAAAUAUUAAAAUUAAAUAAAUAUUAACAUUCAAUAAAUUAUUUUUUAUCGUAUUUUAAAUG
Molecule: long non-coding RNA, 506 nt
Filed under: Ananas comosus (pineapple)
Lineage: Eukaryota; Viridiplantae; Streptophyta; Magnoliopsida; Poales; Bromeliaceae
Description: long non-coding RNA (ACOM_LNC001641)
Source: RNAcentral